UGUAUAACAGACAGGAGGAGCAGCGCUUACCGGGUGUACGCGAGAGGUUGAAUAGAAAUAUCUGUUGUUUAAGCGAACAAACAAACAAAAACAGCAACAAAAUGACUGCAAUGACAUUCGUGUGUAUUGGAGUGCUCGUGCUGUCCAUUUAUUUACCCACACAGGUAGAUUCUGACAACAGCACAACAGGCCCACAAAGUGCCAGUCAGGGUAACAGCACUAAUGUAACUGCAGUCUCUCCAAUCCCCACUCUCUCUACAAACACAACGAUCACCAAAGGUGCUGGCAACGCCCUGCAGUCCUCUCUCAGCCCCUUCCUCAUCCUGCUCGUCGCGUCUGCCUCCGUGCUGCGUCUCUGCUGUUAAAGCCACUUUAGAAAAGAAACAACUCAAACUUUAAAAUCCAAUAGUGAAGAUGGAAACCAAAUCACACAAUGAAUGAUUUAAAACACAGCUGUUUUUUUUUCUGUCGUAUCGUGUCUGUAUGAAAAAAAUAAACAAAAUGAAAAGAAACUAGCUACUACCAGAACUUUCUGCCGACAAAUCUGAAGAAUGAAUCUCUUGAAGACUGUACAAUGUCAACACCUCUUUGGAAACCUGAAUCAAGCAAGUUCUUAAUUAUACCCCUCACAAUCAAUAACACUAUUUCAAUGAAGACCCAUGCCAGUACACAUUGAACUCAUCUAGCUGGUGGUAAAGAGCCUUGACCUGACAUAUUUUACUGAACAGAACUGUUUGAAAGCCCACGAAGUAUGAAUACACUUUUCUGGCCACUGCUGAAGCAGCUAGAUGAAUUUGACACAUCAAGCCAUUUUCACCAAGUUGCUCAACAAAAGUUUUUGUUGGUGUUGUUCAUUCUCAUUGUAAUUCCUGUUGAGGUUUACGCAGUAGCUGCAGGGCUGUUCAUGAGCUUCUUAAACUGUUGAAACGGGUUGCAUAAAAUGAAAACCUGAUUUAAUUAAUCCAAAAAUGGGAUAUAAAACAAAAAUAGCCCUUAGAGUUUUGUGAACAGGGCCCAAUCCCAUAGAUAUCAAAUUGACACCUAAAUCCAGUUUUGAAUUAUGUUCAAUUUCCAUUUUAACACUGAUAAAGAGAUUUUCUUUCUUUUCAAUUUUGGAUUUUUAUUUUCAAGAAAAUAAGCAUGUAAAAAAAAUAUAAAAUCAUAUUCGCAUUUAAGAUUAAAGUAGAUGGUCAGAGCUAGGAUUUGUGAACCAUAUCACAAUAAUAGCAUUUAUGAAUGUUCAUUUUCUCUUUUUUCAUAUCUAGACAUCUUACAAGAUUAUAAGGGAUCUUAAUGUCAUUUUUAGAAACAAUCCAACAAUAUUGCUGAAUACAUUUCUGCUAGUCAGAUUGUUAAAUUGGUGUGGUGAAAGAUUUUUUCCUAUAGUUUAUAUUUUUUGUAUAAAUUGCAUUUUAUUAAAAAAAAUGUGUUGCUUUGAAUUAAUUUCAAUGAUGACACAGAUCAGGGAGUACAUUUUACUUCAUUAAAUGAAGUAAAACAAGCAAGAUGUUUGGAAACAAGCAAGAUGUAUUUCAUAUUAUAGGCAAGAAUAAUUUGUACUGCUUCUUUUUUGGUAAGAAAACCACACAAUCUAAUUUGUUUGCCCUAUAAUCUCCAAAUAUUAGAAUGAGGAACAUUUAGCUACAUUUAUGAUCAACAACAAUAAAAGCAAACUUGUACUAUGGAUUUUUUUCUUCUUCUUGGAAGCAUGUUUUGGUUUAUUUUAAAUAAAAGCACAUACAUGUAUAACACAAUGUGGGUCUAUUAAAUAAUUGUUCAUAAAAUUA
Long non-coding RNA from Acipenser ruthenus (sterlet), 1787 nucleotides. RefSeq lists it as uncharacterized. NCBI's taxonomy places the organism in Eukaryota, Metazoa, Chordata, Actinopteri, Acipenseriformes, Acipenseridae. The transcript has 2 exons. The record is from RefSeq and is a predicted model, not a curated record.